AGAGUUUGAUCAUGGCUCAGGACGAACGCUGGCGGCGUGCCUAAUGCAUGCAAGUCGCACGGGGCUCUUCGGAGCGCAGUGGCGGACGGCUGAGGAACACGUGGGUAAUCUGCCCUACCGUGGGGGACAACAGGUGGAAACACCUGCUAAUCCCGCAUACGGUCUGCUCUUGGGAGCGGAGGAAAGCGUGGCAACACGCGCGGUUGGGGGAGCCCGCGCCCCAUCAGGUAGUUGGUGUGGUAACGGCGCACCAAGCCGGUGACGGGUCACUGGUCUGAGAGGAUGACCAGUCAGACUGGGACUGAGACACGGCCCAGACUCCUACGGGAGGCAGCAGCAAGGAAUUUUCCGCAAUGGGCGCAAGCCUGACGGAGCAACGCCGCGUGGAGGACGACGGCCUUCGGGUUGUAAACUCCUUUUUGGGGGGACGAUGAUGACGGUACCCCUGGAAUAAGCCCCGGCUAACUCUGUGCCAGCAGCCGCGGUAAUUC
This 491-nucleotide ribosomal RNA is filed under the name uncultured bacterium. Its description in RNAcentral is "bacterial SSU rRNA". It matches the Rfam family "Bacterial small subunit ribosomal RNA", at positions 8 to 526 of the family's 1533-position model. The record is from RNAcentral.